UCUUCCUUGGUCUAGUGGUCAUGAUUUCCGCUUGUCAUCGCAAGAUUACGAGCGCGGGAGACCGGGGUUCGAUUCCCCGAGGGAGAG
Paraphaeosphaeria sporulosa is the source of this 87-nucleotide transfer RNA. It matches the Rfam family "tRNA". Rfam says of the family: Transfer RNA (tRNA) molecules are approximately 80 nucleotides in length. Their secondary structure includes four short double-helical elements and three loops (D, anti-codon, and T loops). The record is from Rfam. Lineage: Eukaryota; Fungi; Ascomycota; Dothideomycetes; Pleosporales; Didymosphaeriaceae.